This 403-nucleotide ribosomal RNA is filed under the name uncultured bacterium. RNAcentral describes it as "partial 16S ribosomal RNA". It matches the Rfam family "Bacterial small subunit ribosomal RNA", at positions 30 to 526 of the family's 1533-position model. The record is from RNAcentral.
AUUGAACGCUGGCGGCAGGCCUAACACAUGCAAGUCGAGCGAGCGGCGGACGGGUGAGUAAUGUAUGGGGACUGCCCGAUAGAGGGGGAUAACUACUGGAAACGGUAGCUAAUACCGCAUACUAUCGGAUAACCCAUAUGGGAUUAGCUAGUAGGUGCGGUAAUGGCUCACCUCGGCGACGAUCCCUAUCUGGUCUGAGAGGAUGGUCAGCCACACUGGGACUGAGAAACGGCCCAGACUCCAAAGGAGGCAGCAGUGGGGAAUAUUGCACAAUGGGCGCAAGCGUGGUGCAGACAUGCCGCGUGUAUGAAGAAGGCCCUAGGGUUUUAAAGUACUUUCAGUCGGGAGGAGGUACCGAAAGAAGAAGCACCGGCUAACUCCGUGCCAGCAGCCGCGGUAAUAC